This 2425-nucleotide long non-coding RNA is filed under the name Heterocephalus glaber (naked mole-rat). RNAcentral's name for it is "lncRNA (ENSHGLG00100042963.1)". Lineage: Eukaryota; Metazoa; Chordata; Mammalia; Rodentia; Bathyergidae. The record is from RNAcentral.
GGCCGGCAGAGGCGAGUUUUGCAGUCUCCACGCACGAGAGGAGGAGCUGCUCCUCACGGCUGGAUGAGAUGUCCCACCCUGCACACUAAGGCCGUGUGGUGCCGUUGUAAAGGGCAGAGGGUGUGUGUGCUACCCAGAUGCCUCUUCCUUAGAGCAGCAGUCUCCUGGUCUGCAGAAGGCGCCCUUGCUGUGUCCUGCACCUCAGGGAGCCCGCCCCGCAGCAGAGGGGUUCACCCAAGAUCAUGCCGUGUUCUCACGUCCUCCAGCGAGAAGCGGACCCCUCAGUACCUAGCUGGUGUGUGGCCCAGGGCCACCCUUGGGUCUUGGGUCUUGGGCGAGUGACCCAGCCAAAGGGCUUGUCCAGCUGAUGUCUCGGUCCGGCCUUCACAGCAGCGCCCAGGAGCCCAUGCUGAGGUGUGGGGGUGCUGGCCCUGGGCCAUGUGGCCCGGAGCUGGGCUUCCUUCCGGUGACCCCUCCCUAUCUCUCCACAUGUGUGCCUGCGAGUGAUGGCACUGGGGGCACUGUGGCUGCCAGACUCCAUCGGCCAGGGAGAUGCGUUUUGUCCUUUGGACGCUGACAACAAGGCCACGUUUCCGAGCCUGCUGUCUGCUUCAGUGUUUCUGGCUGUCCACCAGGUGUGGAGCGCAGGCAUCUGGCCCGGUCUGCAGCAGCUGACAGGUGACAGCUGAGCAGGAUUCAGAGUUGCACUUCUCCAGGGACACCAGCCCACCACUACUGGGCAGACCCAUCGGCCGUCCUGGUACAGAACGACCGUGCUCUGCUGCCAACUCCGCCCACUGCCUUGUGACCUGAAGCCGCUUUCCCCAUCCUGUUUGCUCUGUUGUUCUGGGCAGAUUCCAUUCCUGGAAAGGCCUGAAGCAAAGCUCUGUGUGCAGGGUAGCAGUGCUGGGACCAUCCGGUAAGGAGCAAGCCCUGGUCCCAGGCCGGAGUGAGGAUUUGCUGUGAGCUGUGGGACCCAGGGCCCCUCUCCCUCGAGCCCUGCAGCUGCUCACGUCACCACACGGAGCCUCUCUGCAUGGAACAAAACUCCCUAUCCUCUGAGGGCUCCUGAUGCUAUCGUCUGUCUCACAGGAAACCCUGACGGAGGUCUGGGCAGAUCUGGCACCAUGUGGCUUCCAGCUCUUCCCCACUGUCAGAAUGACCAGGAAAAGGAAACGUUUUGAAUCCAUUCAGGACAUGGAGGCAGCCAGGACAGCGCAACUAAAGACACUCGGGAAAGAGGGCUCCAGAGCUGCUGCAGGAAGCGGCCAGGACGGUGGGAGGAGCGUGUGUGAGGAAAAACUGCAUUGCCACGGAUCCCCCUGUGACACUGUCCUAGCGGUGAGCACCUCAUCUCGUCUUCCUUGCCCUCUGGAGCAGGUCCAGAGCCCAUCUGCCUGGCUGUGGAGGCUGCAGCCUGUGCUGCAUGUGUCUUGGUGGCUUUGCUUUCUAUCCACCUAUGCACGCCUUUCCACACCUUCCACAGGGUCUGGAAGGAGCAAGGACGGGGACCUGGACUCAAAUCCACACUGGGCUGAAGCCAAAGCUCCCUGUGUCCUGCAUGGGUGCUUCCAAGGCUGGAGGCUCGGCUCCGCAAUGCCUCCUGCUGAAGUCAGACCGGGGUGCUCACCUUCCACUGGCUCACGUGCUUGCAGGGGGUUUGUGAGGACCACAUUUCCCAGAGUUGGCCCUGUGGGACAGGAGGCCUGGUGUCAGCAGCAGCUGGAGUGGCCAUUCCUCGCCUGGGAUGCUGGGAAGGAGUUGCAGUUGGGAUGGCAGUCAAGACCCCGGGCCCGAGAGUGGCAGCUGGCCAUCCAGAUCAGCAGCGUCCAGAUCCCUGGCCAGGGCGGCAGAUGGUCCCCUCCCUGAGGCAGUGACGCCCCCCGUGGUCCCCGUGACGGGCUUCCUGGGGCAGGAGGCGUCUCAAUGCCGCCGCUGUCUGGCUCCCAACACAAACCCCAGCUUCCCAACUGCUCUCAGAAUAGAUGCACAUGUUGGAGUCUUUCCGCGGGCAGGAAACGUCACGACCAAGGACAUGGUGUUUUUGUCAUCUGAUGUCCUUGUCUGAAUGAUCCAGCAUGGCCGCCCAGGCCAAGCUAAAAAAUCAAGAUGGAGCCACUCAGGCUAAAGUUCCGUGUGACCUGCCUGGACUCAGCUGUCAUAUGACCUUCCUAGAAGACAGGAGAGGAAAUGGACAAAUUUCCCAAACAGGCCAGGUUUCCUCCAUCAGCCUCCCUGUCCAGCCUCACCUCAUCUUGCAAGGUGUUGUGAUGCUGUCUUGUGACACACAUGCAGGUAGAUAUAACAUGAUGUGUAUGCUAUAGUGUCAUUAUCAUCACAGCAGGAAAUAUGGGGACUGAAAGCUCAGAGGAGACUCCCCAGUAUUGAUUUCUCAGAUUCCUUCUGUAUGUGGGGGACAUGGGGG